UAAAAUCUCAAUAAAAUAUAUAAUGAAAGGAAACGGAAAUAUUUAAUCCAUUUCCCAAACAGAAAACUGGAAAAUUAGAAAAUGGAGAAGAAAAUUGGAAAAUGAAAAUAGAAAAUGUUUUGUACAAGUAAACAAGACCUCAAACUCACCAUCUGCCUCAUUCUUGCUGCUCUUGGAGCUUACAAGAUUCAAAAGUAAUCAAGUAUUAAGUAGAAUAAUGCUCACUGAUAUGCCUACUUUUCUCAACUAUUUUCCUUUUCAGGUCUUAAUUGAGUGUUCCCACCUCCAGUGAUGGUUCAUUUAAUGAUGGAUAGUCUCAGAAUAAAAAAUACUAAGUACAAGAAAUUAUCAAGCUCAC
RNAcentral lists this unclassified non-coding RNA (358 nucleotides) under Hevea brasiliensis (rubber tree). The record is from RNAcentral. Lineage: Eukaryota; Viridiplantae; Streptophyta; Magnoliopsida; Malpighiales; Euphorbiaceae.